CAGUAGCCGCGGUAAUACGAAGGGUGCAAGCGUUAAUCGGAAUUACUGGGCGUAAAGCGUGCGUAGGCGGUUUGUUAAGUCUGUUGUGAAAUCCCCGGGCUCAACCUGGGAAUGGCAAUGGAUACUGGCAAGCUAGAGUGUGUCAGAGGAUGGUGGAAUUCCCGGUGUAGCGGUGAAAUGCGUAGAGAUCGGGAGGAACAUCAGUGGCGAAGGCGGCCAUCUGGGACAACACUGACGCUGAGGCACGAAAGCGUGGGGAGCAAGCAGGAUUAGAUACCCCAGUAGUCCCUGUCUCUUAUAC
Molecule: ribosomal RNA, 301 nt
Filed under: uncultured bacterium
Lineage: Bacteria
Description: partial 16S ribosomal RNA
Rfam family: Bacterial small subunit ribosomal RNA
Source: RNAcentral